RNAcentral lists this ribosomal RNA (292 nucleotides) under uncultured bacterium. Its description in RNAcentral is "partial 16S ribosomal RNA". It matches the Rfam family "Bacterial small subunit ribosomal RNA", at positions 505 to 796 of the family's 1533-position model. The record is from RNAcentral.
GUGUCAGCAGCCGCGGUAAUACGGAGGGUGCAAGCGUUGUUCGGAUUUAUUGGGCGUAAAGCGCGUGUAGGCGGUUUCUUAAGUCUGAUGUGAAAGCCCUGGGCUCAACCCAGGAAGUGCAUUGGAUACUGGGAGACUUGAAUACGGGAGAGGGUAGUGGAAUUCCUAGUGUAGGAGUGAAAUCCGUAGAUAUUAGGAGGAACACCGGUGGCGAAGGCGGCUACCUGGACCGAUAUUGACGCUGAGACGCGAAAGCGUGGGGAGCAAACAGGAUUAGAAACCCUCGUAGUCC